RNAcentral lists this transfer RNA (65 nucleotides) under Meloimorpha japonica. RNAcentral describes it as "tRNA-Ile". Lineage: Eukaryota; Metazoa; Arthropoda; Insecta; Orthoptera; Phalangopsidae. The record is from RNAcentral.
AAUAAGAUGCCUGAUUAAAGGGUCACCUUGAUAGGGUGAAUAAAGUAUAUAUUAUACUCUUAUUA